This 424-nucleotide unclassified non-coding RNA is filed under the name Hevea brasiliensis (rubber tree). The record is from RNAcentral. Lineage: Eukaryota; Viridiplantae; Streptophyta; Magnoliopsida; Malpighiales; Euphorbiaceae.
GGGGAAAUAAAAAUCAUAAUCUUAUUAAGGAAGUAGUCCAGUAGACAUCAAGCCAAAAUAAGCUUACACAAAUUAACAAUCACAUAAGACAACUGCAGGAGCCAUGCAUAUAUAUAAUCUGAUUCUUAAGCACACAAAACCCUACUGAAGGUGUGAUCACAUAGACUAACAAUGCUUAGUGCAGAAGCAUCGACGGCGUAGCCCUCGGCAGUGUCCUCCAUGGAAACCUUCUGUUUGGCAAACGGCAGCACAGUUGCUGUGCCUCAUGCACAUACCCUUGAAGCGAUGGCUCUGAGACUCGCAUUUCCUGGCCUCAGCCACCAUUGGCCCCAUCUCAGUGGCCACAAGCAGCAAAAGGAGGAGCAAAACAGCCGAGAAUAGACGGAAUGGAGUCUUCAUCAUCUUACACACAGACAGAGAGAAG